Molecule: non-coding RNA, 108 nt
Filed under: unclassified sequences
Source: RNAcentral
GUUCACCCGGCUUGUCGCCACCUCGACGUGGUGGUGGAGAAUUUCCGCCCCGGCGUGAUGGAUCGGCUCGGGCUCGGCUACGCGGCGCUCAAGGAAACCAAGCGCGAC